UGUUUUUUUUUAUAUAUAUGUAGCGCUAAUUAGAUCAAGGCUGGAUUAUGGUAGUGUAGUAUAUGGAUCUGCAUCAAAAUUGUGCUGGGAAGAUUAGAUGUGAUCCGGGCCCAGGCCCUCACAUUGUGCAUAGGACCAGCAAGAACAUCACCUGUGUGUGCAGGAGUCGAGGCAGAAGAAAUGCUGCUGUGUUUAUGCAGGAAACAGCUCCGAGUCAACUAUUGGAUGAAUUUGAGAGGGCAUAGAGACAAUCACCCAACCAAAGUGCUACAGGCCUGCUGGAAAAGGGAGGGAACAGUAAAAUCAAGUUUUGGCUGGAGUUCGGAGUUCUGCCCGACGGUGAUGUGGCCUACAACCCUUGUGAUCAUUAUUGAAGUUUCUGACAGCAGCAAAAGAAAAGGAUUAGCCCCAUCCAAAUGCUGAUAAUGAAAACUCCUGGCUUCCUGGAUACCUGCUUGCGGCUGAUCACCGGCACACCUGCAUUCCAUUAUUCAUCAGUCUCCACCGUUCUCAUACCAGGCACCUCCACACCACUGACGACAGAUCGUUCCCGUACAUGAACACGUCGCUGCCGGUGAUCACCGCUCCAGACCACUCUACACCUUCGGCUUCACCAGUCCCCCGCCUGGUUGUCCAGCUACCAUCUCUACACUCGUCAGUCCAGAGCCGGCAACCUCGUCUCCAUUCGGAGCGCCGCCAGUCUCCCUCCCCGACCCGGUCCGGUUGAGUUUCCGAGGCGGCCGUCAACUACGUCGAACUUCUCACUACCCACCUACUUUCUGUUUAAUAAAGACUGUGGUGAACCUA
Long non-coding RNA from Siniperca chuatsi (mandarin fish), 807 nucleotides. RefSeq lists it as uncharacterized. NCBI's taxonomy places the organism in Eukaryota, Metazoa, Chordata, Actinopteri, Centrarchiformes, Sinipercidae. The transcript has 4 exons. The record is from RefSeq and is a predicted model, not a curated record.